This 253-nucleotide ribosomal RNA is filed under the name uncultured bacterium. RNAcentral describes it as "partial 16S ribosomal RNA". It matches the Rfam family "Bacterial small subunit ribosomal RNA", at positions 524 to 776 of the family's 1533-position model. The record is from RNAcentral.
UACGGGGGGGGCAAGCGUUGUUCGGAAUUACUGGGCGUAAAGGGCUCGUAGGUGGCCAACUAAGUCGGACGUGAAAUCCCUCAGCUUAACUGGGGAACUGCGUCCGAUACUGGAUGGCUUGAGUUCGGGAGAGGGAUGCGGAAUUCCAGGUGUAGCGGUGAAAUGCGUAGAUAUCUGGAGGAACACCGGUGGCGAAGGCGGCAUCCUGGACCGAUACUGACGCUGAGACGCGAAAGCGUGGGGAGCGAACAGG